This 87-nucleotide transfer RNA is filed under the name Neisseria sp. RNAcentral's name for it is "tRNA-Leu(cag)". It matches the Rfam family "tRNA". From Rfam's summary of the family: Transfer RNA (tRNA) molecules are approximately 80 nucleotides in length. The record is from RNAcentral. Lineage: Bacteria; Pseudomonadati; Pseudomonadota; Betaproteobacteria; Neisseriales; Neisseriaceae. RNAcentral also lists the same sequence under 1 other name.
GCCCAGGUGGCGGAAUUGGUAGACGCGCUAGCUUCAGGUGCUAGUGUCCUAACGGGCGUGGAAGUUCGAGUCUUCUCCUGGGCACCA